GCGGAGGGAAGCUCAUCAGUGGGGCUACGAGCUGAGUGCGCUUAGUCACUCUAUCCGGUGUCCCUUGGGAAGGUCUGAGACUAGGGCCACGGGCGGCCCUAACAGGGCCCUCCCUGAGAUUCGGGGAGGUGAGUUCCCAGAGAACGGGGCUCCGCGCGAGGGCAGACUGGGCAGGAGAUGCUAUGGACCCCGCCCUUGCGGAGGGGCCUGGCGGAUGCCUCCUUAGCCGGAGCUUGGAACAGACUCACGGCCAGCGAAGUGAGUUCAAUGGCUGAGGUGAGGUACCCCACCCCACCCCGCGUGGGGGCCUCAUAACCCAAUUCAGACUACUCUCCCGCCCGU
Molecule: RNase P RNA, 342 nt
Filed under: Capra hircus (goat)
Lineage: Eukaryota; Metazoa; Chordata; Mammalia; Artiodactyla; Bovidae
Description: Nuclear RNase P (ENSCHIG00000003425.1, ENSCHIG00040028923.1)
Rfam family: Nuclear RNase P
About the family: Ribonuclease P (RNase P) is a ubiquitous endoribonuclease, found in archaea, bacteria and eukarya as well as chloroplasts and mitochondria.
Source: Rfam by way of RNAcentral